UAAUUUGGACUUGCUGAGGAUUG
RNAcentral lists this non-coding RNA (23 nucleotides) under Cricetulus griseus (Chinese hamster). The record is from RNAcentral. Lineage: Eukaryota; Metazoa; Chordata; Mammalia; Rodentia; Cricetidae.